CAGGACGAACGCUGGCGGCGUGCCUAAUACAUGCAAGUCGUACGCUUUUUCUUUCACCGGAGCUUGCUCCACCGAAAGAAAAGGAGUGGCGAACGGGUGAGUAACACGUGGGUAACCUGCCCAUCAGAAGGGGAUAACACUUGGAAACAGGUGCUAAUACCGUAUAACAAUCGAAACCGCAUGGUUUUGAUUUGAAAGGCGCUUUCGGGUGUCGCUGAUGGAUGGACCCGCGGUGCAUUAGCUAGUUGGUGAGGUAACGGCUCACCAAGGCCACGAUGCAUAGCCGACCUGAGAGGGUGAUCGGCCACAUUGGGACUGAGACACGGCCCAAACUCCUACGGGAGGCAGCAGUAGGGAAUCUUCGGCGAUGGACGAAAGUCUGACCGAGCAACGCCGCGUGAGUGAAGAAGGUUUUCGGAUCGUAAAACUCUGUUGUUAGAGGAAGAACAAGGAUGAGAGUAACUGUUCAUCCCUUGACGGUAUCUAACCAGAAAGCCACGGCUAACUACGUGCCAC
This 516-nucleotide ribosomal RNA is filed under the name Enterococcus thailandicus. Its description in RNAcentral is "bacterial SSU rRNA". It matches the Rfam family "Bacterial small subunit ribosomal RNA", at positions 25 to 511 of the family's 1533-position model. Lineage: Bacteria; Bacillati; Bacillota; Bacilli; Lactobacillales; Enterococcaceae. The record is from RNAcentral.